GCUGGGCAUGGUGGCGCAUGCCUGUAAUCCCAGCUACUUGGGAGGCUGAGGCAGGAGAAUCGCUUGAACCCGGGAGGCAGAGGUUGCAGUGAGCUGAGAUCACGCCAUUGCACUCUAGCCUGGGCAACAGAGCAAGACUCCGUCUCAA
Molecule: unclassified non-coding RNA, 148 nt
Organism: Pongo abelii (Sumatran orangutan)
Lineage: Eukaryota; Metazoa; Chordata; Mammalia; Primates; Hominidae
Rfam family: Metazoan signal recognition particle RNA
About the family: The signal recognition particle (SRP) is a universally conserved ribonucleoprotein. It is involved in the co-translational targeting of proteins to membranes.
Source: Ensembl